UGGAACUUGACUUGUGAAUAUUUUUUCUCAAACACUUUGGAGAAGGCAAUGGUUCUAGAAAAAUCGUAAUCGUGAUAAUUUUAGUGAAAUUCUGCAUCCAUUUAUCGGUGUGAAUAGUUGCUAAUCAUGAGUGGCAAAUCAAAUGUUGACGCCGCUGGAGGCGGCGAUAGCGGCCUAUACAUCUACGUUGGUAACAUUCAGAAAGCGGCUACAGAGGAUCAGUUGCGACAAUUUUUCCGUGAUUGCAAAGGAAUCGUUUCGGUGUAUUUCCGAUUAGAACAAUCUACAUACUGUCCAACUAAAAUUGCGUUUGUGAAAUUUGCUGAUCGUCAAGAGGUUAAGAAGGCGUUCGGGUUGAACAACACAUUCUUCCAAGGAAAACGUGUUUUCAUUGCCAGUGUCGAUUCAGAAAGAAAUUUUACUCCAAGAUAUUCGGUUAUGGUGAAACAUUUGAAUGAAUAUAUUACCGAAGAAGACGUUUACGACCAUUUCAAAAACAUUGGAACAAUUGAGUGCGUACAGAAGCCAGCUAAUAAUUAUGCGUAUAUUUCUUUUGAGCGCAGCGAGAGUGCUCAACGAGCACUAAGAAUGAAAGAUCGAAGUUUGAAGGGAGUAGAUAUUGAAAUGGAUACUAUUAAAAGAACUAUUUGUAUGCUAUUGGAAAAACCGAAAGGGCUUCUCUUUUCGAGCAUCCAGGACAAAUGUGAUGCUUUGGGCUUAAAGUAUGAACCAGCUGCAGAGGAAGAAACGAAACUACUCGUUACGAAUAUUCCGCGUCAGGUGCCAGAAAAAGAUAUCGUAGAAUAUCUUGGAAAAUUUGGCAGGAUUAUGGAUUGGGAAAUGCAAAAAUCUCCCAUUGCAGUAUUAACAAACAUAGGUUAUGUGACUUACAUGAAUCCAGCAACUGCUCGCCAUGUUUACUUGUAUGGACCACACUAUUUCCAAGGAGUUGGUCUGGAUAUUUAUAAUCCACGUAUUACUUACGGAGAAACUAAGUCAUCAACUGCGGUGUUGUUGAAAAGAACUAAUGUUUAUCUAACCAAUGAUGAAAUCUUUCAAGCUAUGAAUGAGUGUGGCCGUGUCAACUAUAUUCAUCGAGUGGAUGCAUCACGGUACAGCACAAUCGUUCGCUUUCAAUUCUACAUUGCACUUUCGCAGGCUCUUAAAGUUAAACAAAUUGCAGAUGAAAAUGUAUACAUUACGAAGUAUACUCAGCAGAGUUAUUUGACCGACAUAGCUCCGAUUCCCGAGGCUAUGCCCAAAGGAAGUAUUCGCAUUUCCAAGGAGGUGGCACUGCGAAAAAUAAUUGACGAGGAAGAUCGGGUUGAGUUCGCCCGUUUCCGUAUGUUACCCAACGCGAACUAUUUGAAUCCAAAUCCCGAAUUCUACCGGAAUGAAGUUCUUAUUAUGAAUUAUGCUGUUGGACUUGGAUUGUCUCAGUUCCGGGAAUAUUUUAGGAAAUUUGGCAAUGUGAUUAAUUUUCGCGAAAGAACUGAAGGAUUUAUAAGAACAGGCUACCUUAGCUUCGAGACCCGAUUGGAGGCUAGGAGGGCGUGUUCGUUGAAUCAGAACUUUAUUAACGGAACGCGAGUACUAGUUCACUUGGCCAACGAAUGUUUGUUCAUUGACCCAGAGUCGUGCAUCUUGGUUAAUGGAUUAAACGCGAAUAUUUGCGAUGAAGAUAUUUAUGACCAGUUCAAUGAAGUCGGCAAUGUUAAGUUUGUGCUUCGUAAAGCAGCGGAUCGUGCUAUUGUGUGCAUGGAACAUAAACGAAAGCUUGAACCGGCUCUGCGAGUGCAAUCAAUAGGACGAUGUCAUGUGCAGACUGAAAGAAUAAAAAUGUCUAACGCUGGAAGAGCUCAACAACCUCAACAAACAGUAGCGAGUACAAGACCAAACCUUGUACAAAUUGGAUCGGAAUCGAAUGCACCGCAAAAUAACAGUAGGAUUGUUGGUCAGAGAGACUCAAUGGCGGCACCAGGCACGGUUGAACCUAUGAGAGGCCCUGGGGGUCCUAUGAUGAACCCAAAUGGCAACAUGAUGGGUCGUAGUGGUCCCAAUGGCCCCAUGAUGGGUCCCAAUGGUCCAAUGGGUCCUAUGGCGGGUCCCAAUGGCCCCAUGAUGGGACCCAACGGUCCCAUGAUGGGUCCCAACGGUCCAAUGAUGGGUCCCAACGGCCCCAUGAGGGGCCCUAACGGUCCCAUGAUGGGACCCAAUGGUUCCAUGAUGGGGCCUAAUGGUCCCAACGGUCCUAUGAUUGGUCCUAGUGGUCCCAGGGGAGGUCCCAUGGGGGGUCCCCAUAGUCCCAUGAUGGGUCCCAAUGGCCCGAUGAUGGGUCCCAAUGGUCCAAUGAUGGGUCCUAAUGGUCCGAUGAUGGGUCCUAAUGGUCCUAUGAUGGGGCAUAAUGGACCAAUGAUGGGGCCCAACGGACCCAUGAUGGGACCGAAUGGACCAAUGAUGGGUCCUGGUGGCCCUAUGAUGGGUCCCAAUGGUCCAAUGAUGGGGCCAGGUGGUCCAAUGAUGGGCCCUGGUGGCCCAAUGAUGGGUCCUAAUCAAGAUGCACAAACGGCUCCGGUUGUGACACCUGCUAUGCGGCGUCUUAUGCAAAUAGUGGAAGGAGAAAUGAUUAAUGUUCGGGCCUUUUCUACGUUGCCGAUGAUAGAACAAUUUCAUCUUAUCCAUGGAAUCGUAAAUCAAUUUAUAAACUAUCCACAAUUCCUCAACAUGAAACCAGAUAAAAAGAUAAGCUUCCUCAUAACUGGCCAAAAUGGCUUUGUUUAUGCUGACUUGUUUACGCUGUUUACAUAUCCCCAGCAACUGAAGCUGUUAUCAAUGAUUCAUUCUGAUUAUGUCAAUACAAUUACGGCAGAAUCUUCGGACAUGGGGCCUAAAUCAAUGUCUGCUUCGAAUUCGAUAACAUAUUCCAAACCCAUAGCUCCUAACAAUUCAGAAGACAAUGGAGCUUUGGCUCCUUGGCAGAUCAAAUCAACUAGCACUUCAUCAGAAGCUAUGAAAAGCGACGCUGGUUCUAAGAAAUCAAAAUUGCAAUCAGCGCAGAACCGUUUCGAAGAAGCUGAGAAAUUGAAACGUAAAGCAGGUGUUGAAAGCAAUCAAGAUGACGAUAAAGUUGAAACGAUGACGGUCAGUUCUGAAUCUAGUGUCAUUCCACCGGCACCCGAUCCACCAGAAUUCAGCACGAAAAAGUCCCGUUCCAUUUCGCCCACACCUUCUCCGGUUCGGAUAGGUAGAAUGCUAAGUAAGUCUCCUAUCCCACGCUACCGGAAUCCUCGCUCGUCAUCGAUUUCACCAAGUCGACGUGUGGAUCACCGUAGCUCGGCGCUGAAAGUUCAAUCAUCGUCCGGUAGACGCGAUAGCUUGAGUCCAUUGUCGAGUGCAUUGCUGCCAAGUUUAUUGCUGAGAUACAAUCGAUCACGCUCGAGGUCUCCCCGGCGUUAUAGAGAAGAGCGAGAUCGCUACGAAACAUCUACCCGAGCAAGAUAUCGAACCAGAUCUCGUUCCCCUAAUUUGUCUAGGCGGUCUCGAUAUGUGACAUCACCGAGCCCAAGAGAUCGUGACUACCAACGGCAACGUUCAAGAUCGGCCGAACGACGUCGAGUUCAUCACGCUCGAUCCCGAAGUCCGCAACUCCGAGGUUACUCGCGAACCCCUUCGUUGAGUCCCAGCCCUCCACCUCGCAUAGUAAGCCCGGCUUGGGAUGAGCGCAAUCGUUCACCGUUGCUUGAAGAACGAAUUCAUCGGGAACAGUAUGCCGAAGUAAACGAGGAACACGGCGUUUCUAGCUGCAUUUUCGUGGGCAAUCUACCGUUGGAUACAACCGAAGACAACAUUGCAGAGAUCUUUGGUAAGUUUGGCCAAAUUGUAAAACUUAAGCUGCCCACAUUCAACAUUGGAACGAAGCGGGCUUUCAUCACAUUCGACACGUUCGAUCAAGCGGUAAGGGCUUUAGACAUGCACUUGAGGCUGUAUCGUGGCCAUCUGUUACGUGUCGCCUUCAAUAACAAAAAACAGAAGGAGCGUCCUGGUUUUGCUGUCAAUGUAUCCGUAAAUGGGCAAUAUGACGAAGUCGCCAUCUAUGAUACGUUCAAAAUGUGCGGUGAAAUAACGUAUAUUUGGACCAGGAUCUAUCACAGCAAGUCAUUUUGUGUAAUUGAUUUUAAACAUCGUGAUGCGGUGAGAGCAGCAGUCGGUACACACAAGUUACUAAACGGUCACAAAUGCAAGGUGUGUACCAUCGUAUAAACGAUCAGUUUGUUUGGAAAACUGGAACACUUCUGGCUCGAAAAGCUACUGGAUAGGGAGCGAUGUAUUGUGUUUGAGUAGCUAUGAAAUGCAUAUGGUUGCCAAGUGUCUGUGAGAGUCCCAGGUUGUCUGUUCAAUGCAUAUAGUACUAGUUUGAGAAGCCAAUUGUAUGUUCGAGAGGAAGGAAAGAGCCAUGCAAUGGUUCUAUACGCUAUAAAUCGGCUGCGAAGUCUGUUGAAACAGAAAAUGUAAUACUAUGGCUUUGCUUUUUAGUUUACCUUAGCGGGAGCAUAAAAAAGGCGGAAUAACGAAAGGCCGAAAUAUAUAAGGCCGACGAUACCACAUAAAGCCGAAAAUUCGGAAAGCCGAAGCAUAAUAGGUCGAAAUAUAUAUAUGAUGCUAGUUUUUUUCGCUGAUUUAAUUUUUCAUCGGUUUUUAGCGUUGUAUCAUAAAUCAAAUAAACAUAGAUUUCCCAGUGUAAUAGUAAUGUAGUUGAGCAACCUGUGACACCAAAAGCACCGUCUGGUGGAGAAUGGAUGCGUAAAUGCUCCUAAAAUGCAUGCAAAAAGUUGCCUGCGCAUUUAACACAACCACAGUAGCUAAUGGAAAAAAGUACACCCGUUUGUCACUAGAGGUGCUGUUAGUGUCACCGUACAGUGAGAAAUCUAUGUUUAUUUGAUUUAUGGUUGUAUAGUACUGUGAUAUAAUUGUGGUACAAAGUAUUUGGUAAGAAUUCUAACGAGAUCUUAUAUAUAAACCGUUUGUCCGGUCAGCUGCUCAAACAUGGAGGAGAGGCACUGGCUAAAGCUGGAUGAUUUCUAGGAUUUGGGAGGAGGAGAUUCUACCGUAGGAAUGGAUGGAUGGAGUUGUAUGUCCCGUCUACAAAAAGGGCGAUAAGCUAGACUGUUGCAAUUACCGCGCAAUCACAUUGCUGAACGCCGCCUACAAGGUACUUUCCCAAAUUCUUUGCCGUCGUCUAUCACCAAUAGCUAAGGAAAUCGUAGGGCCGUACCAAGCGGGAUUUACUGGAGCCGGCGCCACUACGGAUCACAUAUUCGCGAUAAGACAAGUACUCCAUUGACUUCAAAGCGACAUACGACACAAUCGAUCGAGAACAGCUAUGGCAGAUCAUGCACGAAUACGGUUUCCCGGAUAAACUGACGCGAUUGGUCAAAGCAACGACGGAUAGAGUGAUGUGCUACGUCCAAGUAUCUGGGACGCUCUCGAGUCCCUUCGAAUCCCGGAGAGGGCUACGUCAAGGUGAUGGACUUUCUUGUAUCUUGUUCAAUAUUGCCCUGGAAGGUGUGAUUCGAAGAGCGAGGAUCGACACGAGUGGCACGAUCUUCCGAAAGUCCGUACAACUUUUUGGCUUCGCUGACGAUAUUGAUAUUGUGACACGUAACCUUGAGAAGAUGACGGAAACCUACAUCGGACUGAAAGCUGAAGCUAGGCGUAUCGGACUGGCCAUAAAUGCGUCAAAAACAAAAUACAUGAGAGGAACAGGCUCUACAGAAGAAACACAACGCCGUCACCACGGUGACAAUAUCGAGGUGGUUGACGAGUUCGUGUAUUUGGGCUCACUGGUGACCGCCCAUAAUGACACCAGCAGAGAAAUUCAUAGACGUAUUUUGGCAGGGAAUCGUGCGUACUUUGGACUCAGAAAAACCCUUCGAUCGAGAAAAGUACGCCAACGCACGAAAUUGACCAUCUACAAAACGCGCAUUAGACCGGUUGUUCUCUAUGGCCACGAGACCUGGACUAUGUUGGCACAGGACCAACGCGCCCUCAGUGUUUUCGAAAGAAAGGUACUGAGGACGAUCUAUGGCGGAGUGCAGAUGGAAGACGGUACGUGGAGACGGCGUAUGAAUCACGAAUUGCAACAGCUGCUAGGAGAACCACCUAUCGCACGGAAAGCUAAAAUCGGACGUCUACGAUGGGCUGGGCAUGUCAUAAGGAUGUCGGACGACAGUCCAGUGAAAAUGAUCCUUGAAUCUUAUCCGACUGGUACAAAAAGAAGAAGAGCGCAGCGAGCAAGGUGGAUCGAUCAAGUGGAAGGUGAUCUCAGAAGUAUCCGUGCCUUGAGUGGCUGGCGACGAGCAGCCAUGGACCGAGUUAUGUGGAGACCAGUGCUUUCAUCAUUCAUUCAUCAAUGCGAGGAACGAGCAAAAAAAGCGUUCAGUGCAGCUAUAGCACUCAUACCAACAGACUGAGUUACCGGCUUCGAUGCUGAAAAUAUACACGAGCAAACAGAGUGGAGAACGAACCAUUCCAUACAUACUUGCCGACGAGCGUGCUCUAUUACGUUUAAUAGUAUUGAACCUUCCUGAAAAACAGUAUUAAGUAUUCUCUUUUCUCUCAAAUAUAGGCAACUCGUUCAAACAAUUCCUCGGUAGUAUAAGUGAUUCAAGCACACUAUCGUUGGUGAACCAUUCAUCAUCAAAGAAUACUGUUGAAUUUGAAUGUAAAAAUAAUUUAAAUCAUUAAUGUAUUCAAGCAUAAAAAAAUAAAUUUAGAAGGUUUCACGCUGCUGUAGAUUUUCCACAUCAUUUUUUACUACCAGUAGCUAUGAUUAAUGUUCAUGUUUAUGAGAUCUUAACUGCAAGCAAUGGCCAAAAAGAGUGAAGAAGAAGAAGUAAGCUUCAUCUGUGCUUAACGAUUUCACUGCUCACUCGUUGGGCUAGUAACCACAUGAAGAGAUUCAUGUAUGUACAGCCGACGAUGAAGAACCAACAAUACUCUCUCGUUGCUUCGCUCACUAAUGUAAAAGAGAAUGAGCAACAAGUAAUACUUCUAUACGCUUACCUUCCAAGUACAGAAGAGCAUUGAUUCACUAAUACAUACCAAUGUGAACCAACUCCGUCUGCUUAGAAGUGUCUGACGAAUGGUUCAGUUGCUGGUGCAUUCAUGAACCAUGAAACGAAUGAAUGAUGCUUACUUUUAUUCAGUUCAUUCAUUUUCCAAGCACUGGUGGAGACGUAUGCUUGAUACAGCAAAGGACACCCCAGGCCUAUAGCUGUUAGAUGAUGAUGAUUGUCCGGUCAGCGCGAUGAAAAAAUCGUUUCGGGCUUUCUGAGUUUCGGCCUUUUGAGUUUCGGCUUUCUAUGAUGUACGGCAUUUUCUGUUUUCGGCUCGUUUUAUUUCGGCUUUUCGUUAUUUUGCCUUUCGUAUUUCGGUCAUUUUUUAGGCUCCCCAUACUUGCAUAUCAGUCCUAAAUGAAAAAUCGGCAUGUCGAGUAAAAGACGAUUAAAAUUUUAUUUCCAAUUUUUUUGAUUUAUUGUGUUACCUAAUACUAAAUCAUGGUAUUAAUACAUUAAAUAUCGGUAGUACACCUUUGCUAUUCCAAUAUUGCAACAAAUGAAAUUUGCACUAAAUGGGAUUGAUAUGCCGGUACUUUGCUUGUGGGACAGAUAUGAAUUGAUAUAUUUUCACAUUUUACUGACCAAAGCCCUAAACUUUUAUUGCAAUUUCCAAUAGUAUAUUAAGGUGAAAUGUAGUGGAAAGCACUUUUAGCGUUUUCGCCCGAUUUCCGAAAAACCAAAAACACUUAAGUUUUUGCAAUUAAAUUUAUCACAACUAAGUAUUCUUAGAAUUUUGAAAUUUUGCUUUGCCGAGCCGUAAUUGGUUUUUGAAAUGUAUAAACGGUUACUGUUCCGUUUCACGGGGAUGGUUUUAGAACUGAAAAGUAGUGUUUGUAGCAAAAUUUCACAAAUAAUCUGAAAAUGCAACUCAAAAUUAUAUAACUUUAGCCAAAACAACCGAGAUUUGAAAAAGUUUACAUAAAUUUUCCGCAUUUUUUUUAUUGCUUGCACGCUGCUGUUUCGUAUUGACAUGGUGUGAGAAAAGCACGGUGGCAUUUUAUCGUAAGCGAAAAUUAUUAAGAUUACGAUUACAUAGCUAGUGACACGAAGAAGAAUAACAAUAUAACCACUUUCUACUUAUUCCAAGAUGACAAUGAAAGUCAAUUAGAAUUGAAUAUAUUGGCAGUAAUUCCAGUCCAGUAAUUUAUUUUAACAGUGUUUUAUUCGCUAAAGAAAUUCGACCGCGCUCUAUCAUGCGUGUGAAGUGAAUAAUUUUACACAACUUUCCUCUCAACGGCGUGAAGGGUUAGGUGUACUACUGUCAAAGAUACCGAAAAUACUUGAAUAUUUGCUUGUCUUCAAUCGUUCUUCUGAAGGGAGAACCCAUGCUUGCCACUAAACUCAGGCAUAUACAUGGAAAGAAAGUUAGUCAAUACAUAUGCAUAUAACCAUAAUCAUAAUUACUCAUGAUUCAUAGUUCUAGUGUAAUAGUAAUCACUAACAAUAACGAUUGAAUUAGGAUAUAUUCAAAGUGUGAAAGAUUCAAAAAUCCAUUACGAAUCAAUGAGUCAUUUUUACAAGCCAACAAAAUGAGUGACAAGCCCACUGCGCUCAAUGACUGAAAAUAUUGCUGGUUCCUAUGUGUAGGUUUUUCUUGUUAUGCUUUGUGCGACGAUUCGGUCAACUCAAGCGGUUAAAAAUUCGCGCGCCUUUUUUCAGACUACAUUUCACAUUAAGGAUAGGUUUUAUUCCUCAAGGUAACUCAAUAUUGGCGAAAAUCGAUAUGGGACUGAUAUGCGAAUAUGGGCAGUAUAAAUCUAAUAUAACACCACUCAAGUAUGUUGUGUUAUAGAAAAUUCCUCAACCAGUUAGGGAUACUGUCUAUAGAAUAUAUCAGAUGUAGGUUUCACAAACAGUAAUUAUUGUGCAAUGGUACUUCGACGAACGGCAACUGAUUUCUGUCGGGUCCCCGCCUAUCGUUUGCUGAUCAUGUCAAGAGCUAGUACAAUAUCCGUAGCUUAUUGCCGCAUCCUUUCUCCAAUGGCAAUCGUGCAACUACGCAGAGUGGUGUAAGAAGAACCAUAUGAUAGUAAAUACCUACAAGUGCUUCACGAGGAAAAAAAGAACCAUUUCAAGUAGCGCAUCGUGUUGCUAAACAAUUUUUGCUGGGCGAGAUUCUGAUUUCAUAAUCCAUUUCAUUUAUUUAUUUUUAUUGAAGAAGGGAUACAAAACUACUAAAUGCAUACUUUUAGUUUAAGUUUUAACCAAGUAAUAUUCUUCGUUCAAUAUACAUUUCAUGAUUCAAGCAUGAUCUUUGUUUACAACACAAGUAUUUUUAAUAUUUGAGUUCUCCUGAUACUUAGUUUUCAUCUUAGUCCCGUCUUCGUCGUUUGUACUACAAUGCUUUUAAUGCUAUAUUGCCCACAUUGGUUUCACUAACAAUCAUGGGUUAUUUAUUAAUGUCAUUUUCGUUUGAGAAAACUGAAACUGAUCCAGGGUAGUUUCAACAAACAAACACUUUCCAUGAAACUGUGUUGGUUUCGCACUUAGCAACGGGGGUUUGAGCAAACCUGAUAUAAAAACCAGGUUCGAAACUGGUUCGAUUAUCAGUUUAACCACGUUAAAACUGGGGUUGAAGCAAGCUUCAAACAAACGGUUUGACAGCAAUUAGAGUGGAAACAGGGUUAGGUUUGGCUUCAAGCGAAAACGACAUAAGGGUUUAGCUACAAGGGGCACGCCGACCUGAUUGUCGGUUACAUUGUAGCUAAAGUUUCCUAAAGGAGUCUAGUAUUUGUAAAAUAGGAAUUUGUUCCUUAAGGCGACGGAAAGCCAACUAGACAAAAUAAAAUUCAUAUUGUGUAUCGUUUCAUAACAUUUAUAUUAAGCAUGCACUCUUUCUCCUUCCGUCCGCCUUCUUCUUCUCACAAAGCUUCAUCAUUUAUCCACACUUUCUGUACUAGCUUCUCCUUCCUCUCAUCUUGACACUUCUUUCCCUGUAUAUGCCUACUGCUCUACGUGUGUACAAAAGUUCUACUCACAAUACCGGAGUUACCCUUUCAAAUACAUGCUGUUCGGAAGACUUCCUUCUGUUCCACCAAUGUCUAGCUGGCUGGAGUCUGACGUCCAACUGCCUGAAUGAAUUGCUUUCAUGAUCCCGCGGAAGCGCGAUUUCCACUGCAAACGUCCGUUCGUCCGCCGAGCUUAACGAGAACAAGCACACCUAUUUCAUGCGCUCGACAAUGCCGAAUGAGCCGUGCCACGGCCGUUCAAGAUGGUGAUUGAACCGAAGAGCCAAAACACAUGACCGUCAAACGAUGCCUUGAGUGUAGCGCCCCCGGUGGAAAAUAAACAGUAAUAUGAGCGCCAAGGUGCUGUGGAUCGCCGUUGACCAAUAGUAGCGUGGGUGAUCGAUGUCGGAACAGCCAGACCAUGUAACGAUGUAGCACUGGAGCUGCUGCCGAAUGAUACCGAACGGAGGACGCGGAGAUGAUAAUGUAACCGAAUCACGUUGAAAUGGUGCUGUCAGAUGCCUGGGCCGCCAAGCAGAGAAUUGAUGACAACGGCGUAGUAGUGACAUUCUGGACUUCGAAUUCAAAAAACACACCCCUUCCGGGGUCUGGUAACUGUGCUUAGCGUCUUUUCCACUUUCUCGUGUAUAUUGCCAGUGUUCUUCCCGAUCCGACUUUUGUUUCGCACUCUUAUUGUCUGCAGUUUUGCCGUUCUGCUGCGGGUGUUCACCCACGUGACUUCGCUGGACGGAUCACCAGGUCGAAAUGAACAUUCUGAUUUUUUGUUCUUUUUUUUGUGUUUUUGACAGCUGUGCGGAAGAAGAUAUCCGUCACGGUUUGAGCUGCGUCUGACGAGGUGAUUUGCGUCUUAACCGUGAUGCUAGUGCGAUGGAUUUGUAUAAUUCCUCACAUUUCAAACUUAUGUUUGAGUGUCAGCAUUUUUCAUUCAGUGCAUAACUGAGUUUAACUAUACAUAUUUUCCUUAACGUUACAUAUUCUUACAGAAGCGUCCGUAUGCUGUGGGCUGGUUCGUUCAAUUCUCGAAUAUUGCUCGGUAAUUUUGAGUCCCUGCUGCCUUAACAGUGCUCAUACAAUCGAGUCACAGAUUUGUUUGCUUUGCUCUUCUCGGAAUACCUUGAAAGUAUCCCUAUCAACUACCGAGCUAUACAAGUCGCGGGUUAUUAGUCGGUCUAGACACACUACAAGUGCCGCCUAAGUACUUUCAUGAGAUGCUAAUUUACGAACACCGUCUAAUCCAAGUAAAUUUUUGGAUCACAAAUCCAUAAGCUAUAGUACUGUCUAUAGUUGAUUUAAUUAGAAGCCAAAGACAUUAUCCCGUCACACUUCACAAUCUGAUCUGAUGUAACUUUUUUUUAAACAUGCAAUAAAACAAACAGUUCAUCCGAUUUCAAAAUUUAUUUUUUCAUAUUAAAGUACAAUGCUUCUGGUUAAUUGUGGAAUUCAAUUUCAUUCAAAUGGCUGCCUCGGCUGGCCUUGCAGUACGCCAUACGGUCGGUCCAGUUUUUUAGUACAUUUUCGAUUGUAUGCAGCUUUAUUUCAGCUAUGGCUGCACGAAACUUGUCCUUCGAGGCUUGAAUUGUCUCUGGCUUGUCCACAUAACACUUAUCUUUGGCAGCCCCCCAAAGAUAAUAGUCUAACGGCGUCAAAUCACAGCUCCGAGGUGGCCAAACGACAUCCGAAUUUCGAUUGAUAAUUCGAUCUUCGAAGACUGUGCGCAGAAGAUCGAUCGUAGCGUUGACUGUGUGGCACGGAGCGCCGUCUUGUUGGAACCAAAUGGUGUCCAAGUCUUCCUCUUCAAGUAACGGGAAGAACCAAUCGCUAAUCAUGGCGUUGUAGCGCUCGCCAAUGACCGUGGCGGCGGCUCCUGCCUCAUAUUCUAAGAAAAAUGACCCAAUGAUGCCGCCAGACCAAAAUCCGCACCAAACCGUCACUCUCUGAGGAUGCAUCGACUUCUCCAUAAUAACGUGCGGGUUUUCCGUCCCUCAGAUGCUACAAUUUUGCUUAUUAACAUACCCGCCGAGAUGAAAAUGUGCCUCAUCCGAGAAGAUGAUUUUUUGGUAAAAAUCGGCGUCUUCUUCAAGCUGAUCGCAAGCCCAGUUGGCACUGUUUUCAUGCGUUCCUCAAGCGUAUACACAACCAUUUUCGUUCAGCGGAAGGAUAAAACUAAGUUUCUGUCUAAUAUGUUUUAAGUUUAGACCUAUUUCCAUAAUGUAACUCAGGUCAGUAUAAUAAAGAAAGACGUAGUCCUAGGUCAACGAAGUAAAUACCUCCAUAUGUUGGAAUAAGUGUUCGAUACUGUUCCAUGCAAAGAGGUUGUAAAUAAAAUCAAAAAGCUACUGAAAAUAAGGAAAAAUCAUAAUGCUUCAACUAAAACUAUAUGGUUGUUCUAUAUCAAUUAUAAAUAUCGAACAAAUUACAACAUUUAAAAAGAUUAUAUGGAGUUAAGGACGACAGGAUGCUGACGUGUUAAAAUAUUGUGUUGAAAUGGUUUACAGCCUUCAUUCCCAAAAUGACGAUGAGAAGAGUAUUAUGCGGAAUACCUUAAGAUAUACAUUUUGGAGAACUGAGCUUGGCAUUGAUACGAAUCCUCAUCCAUUGAAAAUAUGUCGACUAGAGUUUACCGCUAGGGGGAAUUGCAGUAUUGCAAAGUAUUGCACGGGAUUAGGUGAAACUCUUUCGCAAUUAGAAGUUUAUUCGCCUGAGUAAGUCCAGAGUUUAGAGUGAUUUUCUCCUAGUUCCGCGGUAACAAGCUACCAACCUUAAUUAGUUCACCAUUGACCUUAAAAGUGUAACACAUGUUUGCUUAACGAGCAUACCUUAUGAUCAAAAAAGAACCGGAAUUUUUAUUUUAAAAUGCCCGCGCUUGUCCAUUCGGUAAACUUUUAUUCUCUGAACGUUGGCAACACUUUUAUACACAUUCUGUCAAAUUUUGACGCAUAUCGUACGAUUAGUUUUUGUUUGGCGUCUAUACAAAGAAGUUGAAAAAUUUUCGUGUGGCGAUUUUUAUAAUGGAUUUAAGUGUUCCGAAACGUUGAAAAUGUUAGAAAAGGCCUUUGGUGAAUCGUGUCUAGGAAAAACACAGGCAUACGAGUGGUAUAAACGCUUCAAAGGUGGUCGUACAAGAUUGGAUCAUGAUGAGAUCCCUGACCGCCCAACAACAUCUGUUACUGAAGAAAACAUUCAAUCGGCGAAGAAUCGUGUUGCAAAAUUGUUCUGUACCGAUUUGAGAGAUUGCUGUGUUGUUGGGCAUCUUUUAUGGAUCAGCCGAACACAUUUUAACUGAUGUUCUGGGUUUGAACGCGUCGCUUCUCGGCUGGUGCCAAAAAAGCUGAAUUUCAUUCAAAAACAGCGUCGUGUUGAUGUGGCCAAAGAGAUGAUUUCCAACGCAGAUAGUGACCCCACAUUCAUCGAAUCCAUCAUAACUGGUGAUGAGGUGUGGAUCUAUGAAUAUGACGUCGAAACCGCACAACAAUCGACCGAAUGGCGCUUCGAAGGCGAGCCGAAACCAUCCAUUAUAAAAAUCGCCACACGAAAAUUUUUCAUCUUGUAUAGACGCCAAACAAAAACUAAUCGUACGAUAUGCGUCAAAAUCUGACAGAAUGUGUAUAAAAGUGUUGCCAACGUUGAGAGAAUUAAAGUUUACCGAUUGAACAAGCGCGGGAAUUUUAAAAUGAUAAUUCCGGUUCUUUUUUUAUCAUAAGGUAUUACUUUGAAUUUUAAAUGUCGAAAACGCGGCAGUAAGUAUGGAUUCGCGAUGCUUAUGCUAUAUUGACGUGAGCAGCAUUCUUUCCGAUAGACAAUUAUGAUUUAUUGGUGUGAAAUUCUCUUCAGUGUGUACAACCAGUUUAUUGAACAGAAGAGCGAGGAAUUUGUAUAUCCAUCAGCUACAUAUCAAGUAAGUAUGGUGUAUAUUAAUUAAAAAAACAAAACAAAAUUAAAACAAAAAAAAAACAAAAAGAAAACCAAAAGCAAAAAGAAAAAUAAAUCUGUAAUUUUAAGAAAUAGGUUUCGUAACACUGAUUAUAAUUUAUACACUUUUGAAAGUUUAGGCUCAAAUAACCCAAGGAUAGCGGCAAACGAUGAAAACAACUUUUAGCAACUGUAGGACUACUUUCAAAAACUGGUAAUAAUAGAUAUAAGAUACUUACAUUUUUUGUAUUUUCAAUGUGUACUCAGACAAAGAUUUUAUCCAUCGGUUAAUCUAUACUAUAAGACAUAACAUUUUUUUUUAUGAUUUCAAGGGACAACUUAUCCUUGGUCAAAAUAUUACUGGAAAUUCUCUUCACAAUAGACAGGUUUGAACGUUGAGCUAUUGAAAAGUUUAGUUAACUAGCAAUUGUGACUAAUUCGUCACUCGAGCGUUUAGUAGAAUAAAUUCAUGAAAAUACUAUUUUAUAACCAUUCAAUUCUAUCAUAUCGCGCCACUAUACACUUUACUAUGUAUCGCACAACCAGUGCGGUAAAAUUUCACUUUCAAUCGAAUGUUAUUAGAUGAAAAAAAUUAUUGCCAUUUACUGUCAACAUAACUCUUCGCAUUCAUUUGACUUUUGUUACCAUACUCAAAUGAAGCUUUCAGAUUUCAUCGUCAAUUUAAUAAUCGUACCUAGACUUUGAAGUUUUGCUUGCUCAGUUUCAAGCGCCAAGUAGUCUACCUGCUUCAUUGUUUUCGCUGUUGGUAGUGAGCAAGUUCGACAGAAUAUGUAUGACCAUCAACUCGAUAAGCAAAAUUCCUUCGGCCAGAAUUAUAUAUGGAGGGUAGCGAUUCUCAUUUGAGUUUUCGAUUAUCACCAGCAAGUUUAAGUAAAACGGGUAUGUGCCCGAAGCACAAACAUAGGAUAACCCCUAAAUGAAGUUUAUAUCGAUAAUUUUCGACUCUAUUAAUUUUAGUUUGUUGACGUAAAGCCGCUAUAAUUAAUUCAGUUUUUUGCAAUGACUUAGUGGAACAUAUAUUGGGGAAGCCAAAUGAAUGAAAAACUAACAGAAAAGAUGAUUUAUUGGAAAAAGAUACGCUCAGAGACAGGACACGAACCUUUGUCUCAGAGACAGAACAACGAACCUGUUCGUGUCCUGUCUCUGAGCGCAUCUUUUUCCAAUAAAUCAUCUUUUCUGUUAGUUUUUCAUUCAUUUGGCUUCUCCAAUAUAUGUUUUCACUCAGUCAUUGUAAAAAAAAACUGAAUUUUCGUCUGUUUCAAAUGUAUUGAGACGCGUUUCAAAGUUUUAUAGUUUUAUUUUAUGAAAACUGAAAGAGUGAUCAAUUAAAUUAUGUUAAUUCGUGAUUGAUAUUUCAUCUGUUAUCUUGAACCAGUUCGAAUGUUUACAUGAACUUCAUUUGAAGGGUGCUCUGUCAUUCAAAUGAAAUAGAUAUUUUAUGCGUUCAAGAAAUCAACUGACGGUGGUUAAACUAAGCUUCGAUUCAAAGAGAAAAGAACGAAGAGCUGAAUGCUGCCUAUUCGGUACGUCGGCGAAGGUUGUGUGUGAUAGAGCGUUCAACUGAAUUGAAUGCAGUUUUACUGCACUGCUCACAACACAUUUUUCAAAUGUGUAUGUACGUCACAACACAGAUACGUCUUUCGGAAUGUUAUUCACAUGCUUCAUCAGUGGCUCAGUUUUUUAGCAAUCUCAUUAAACUGAUGCGCAGAUGAAGGAUGUAAAUAAAAUUUUGAAAUACGUAGCUGUAUUGUGACGUUUAAUAUACACAUUUGAAGUGUUGUGAGAUACAUUGGGAAUGUGCAUGUUGAUGUGAUCAAAUAGAAUCCAAUGGUGAUGAGAUAUUUUGCUCGUAGCAGCUGUGUUAAUUUGCGUAUCAGAAUGUUAACACGUACUUAAAUAGUUGUCAUUUUAAACAAUCAGAGUCAUUAAAGCUGUGGUUGAAAUUGACAUUGCAAAUUGUGAUAAAAUUCAUUUCGAUUCAAUGUGGUAGAAACAGGUGGGGCAAACACAACUCUUUUGUGUUAGUGAAAUUUACUUUGCAAGGCAAGUAAAACUAAAAACCAUGUUCUAGCUGUCACAUCAUUCGGACUAGUUGGCAUUGAAUCAAAGCAUGUGUAUAUUUCGUGUAUGUCGUCAUACCGAACUAUUUACAUUUUUUAUCAUAUCCCACCUGCUUAUAUCACAUUGACUAUGCAUAAGCCAAAGUAGAUGCAUGAAGUGGAGCUUCGAGUACAGUCUCCGAUUUCAAUCGUUUUGUCAAAAACGCAUUAAUAAUUAUGAUAAAUACUUUCGUGCUUCCUAAGCUAUGGUAAAUAUUGAUUGAAAAUCAUGUUUCUAAUGUAAGCUACAUAUUACCAUAUAAAAAAGCGCCGUUUUUCCGAGGUCAAUUAGUUCGUAGUUUAGUUUUACGUCUGUUUGUCUGUGGAUUCCGAAAUACAUUUUUAUUUAAAUAUUCUAUCAAUUGAGCAAUUCGUAACUAUUUGUACUUUUUAUAUUGCUGUUUCUGGGAAUUUGACGAUUUGGGAACCUAGCAUCCUGCUUGCUAAAUGUGGAUAUGAGUAAGGAACUCUCCAAAAAACAACAGAAUUCUUUCGAGGAUGCCCAAGAAGCCUGUUGAUUGUAGGAAUAUGCAAAAAACAGCAGCAGGGUCAAAAGAAAG
RNA transcript from Malaya genurostris, 16676 nucleotides. RefSeq lists it as uncharacterized. The record is from RefSeq and is a predicted model, not a curated record. Lineage: Eukaryota; Metazoa; Arthropoda; Insecta; Diptera; Culicidae. The transcript is spliced from 12 exons.